This 253-nucleotide ribosomal RNA is filed under the name uncultured bacterium. Its description in RNAcentral is "partial 16S ribosomal RNA". It matches the Rfam family "Bacterial small subunit ribosomal RNA", at positions 524 to 776 of the family's 1533-position model. The record is from RNAcentral.
UCCGGAGGGAGCUAUCGUUGUUCGGAAUUACUGGGCGUAAAGCGCACGUAGGCGGCUUUUUAAGUCAGGGGUGAAAUCCCGGGGCUCAACCUCGGAACUGCCCUUGAAACUGGGAAGCUAGAAUCUUGGAGAGGCGAGUGGAAUUCCGAGUGUAGAGGUGAAAUUCGUAGAUAUUCGGAAGAACACCAGUGGCGAAGGCGACUCGCUGGACAAGUAUUGACGCUGAGGUGCGAAAGCGUGGGGAGAAAACAGG